Molecule: ribosomal RNA, 419 nt
Filed under: uncultured ammonia-oxidizing beta proteobacterium
Lineage: Bacteria; Pseudomonadati; Pseudomonadota; Betaproteobacteria
Description: bacterial SSU rRNA
Rfam family: Bacterial small subunit ribosomal RNA
Source: RNAcentral
UGGAGGAAAGCAGGGGAUCGUAAGACCUUGCGCUUUUGGAGUGGCCGAUGCCUGAUUAGCUAGUUGGUGGGGUAAGAGCCUACCAAGGCGACGAUCAGUAGUUGGUCUGAGAGGACGACCAGCCACACUGGGACUGAGACACGGCCCAGACUCCUACGGGAGGCAGCAGUGGGGAAUUUUGGACAAUGGGCGGAAGCCUGAUCCAGCAAUGCCGCGUGAGUGAAGAAGGCCUUCGGGUUGUAAAGCUCUUUCAGUCGAGAAGAAAAGGUUGCGACUAAUAAUCGCAACUUAUGACGGUAUCGACAGAAGAAGCACCGGCUAACUACGUGCCAGCAGCCGCGGUAAUACGUAGGGUGCGAGCGUUAAUCGGAAUUACUGGGCGUAAAGGGUGCGCAGGCGGCUCUGUAAGUCAGAUGUGA